Molecule: long non-coding RNA, 1123 nt
Organism: Pygocentrus nattereri (red-bellied piranha)
Lineage: Eukaryota; Metazoa; Chordata; Actinopteri; Characiformes; Serrasalmidae
Source: Ensembl
CACAGAUCGGCAAAACCUAUGCAGAGGCUAUUAAUAUCGGGAUAUUAAACUCGGGAGAACGAGAAUAAAGUCCUCCCACCUUUAGGCGGCAAUAUUUCAUUCGAGUGUUUUUUUUUUUGUUCGUUGCUCUUAACUGUUCGGCAGUUGGGGGUGGGUGGCGCGGCAAGACCACCGUUUCUGUUCUCAUUUUUGAUCCUGUAUUUCAUAAAUUUUCAGAGGCUUGAUGGAACUUUUCGUCUGACGCGCUCUUUCUUUCUCUAUGUCUCUCUCUCUCUCUCUCUCUCUCUCUAGCUUCCUGGUAAACAAAGCGCGGACGCUCCACCAACACACGGUCUGAGUCGACCUGCUUCAGCGACCGUCUUCAGACAUGCUCUCAGCGAGGAGACCCUUCACAGCAGACCACCUAAUAAAGCUACACGCGGCGCUCUGGGUCGUCCCGCUCGCCGCAGUGCUGUCUCAGAAGGCGGGCGUUUGCCGGGGCUGCUCCAGCUCGGAGGGUCUGCUCCUGUGCAGGUCCUGCGGUCAUGAGGUGGCUCUGGAGAAAGAUCUGAGUUUCGUCCCGAGUCGCCUGGCCCUCUCUCACCGGAACGACACCGUGAUCGGAGAGCGAAGGACCACCGUGCAGCUCUUCGAAAACCCUCAAGGCUUCCAGUUCGAGCUCAUCACGUUUAGAAAGGCAGACGUGUUGAAGCACUGGCCGGCGGACAAACACUUCACCUGGUUUCCAGGGUUUUCCUGGACGGUAGCCACCUGUCCGCGAUGCAAAACACACCUAGGCUGGGCCUUUCAGCCGAGCGACUGGCCUCGGACAGUGACAAGACAAGACUUCGAGAACUCGGACCAGACUUUCGUAGCCCUUAUUGUUCAGAGAUUACUGCAGGAGCAGUUUGCAUCCAGCCUCCUGAUGACACCAAACUCUUUCAGAAGCUGACCAAUCAAGCUUUCAUCCAUCUCAAACAGUGGUACUGUUCUUAACCAAAGGGCUUAAUGAAAAUAGAAGUGCUCAAGAAGUCAAAUUUGGCAGCAGGACAGAAAAGGAGCAGGUUAUAGGUCUGGACAACCCCACCCAAAACAGAAGUCCCCCCGCCCCUAACCACCACACGCUGCUUUUUCUCCCACCUUA